RNAcentral lists this ribosomal RNA (406 nucleotides) under uncultured bacterium. RNAcentral's name for it is "bacterial SSU rRNA". It matches the Rfam family "Bacterial small subunit ribosomal RNA", at positions 975 to 1375 of the family's 1533-position model. The record is from RNAcentral.
CUGGUCUUGACAUCCCAGAAAUCCCUUGGAAACUUGGGAGUGCUUCCAUUAGGAAGAAUCUGGAGACAGGUGCUGCAUGGCUGUCGUCAGCUCGUGUCGUGAGAUGUUGGGUUAAGUCCCGCAACGAGCGCAACCCUUGCCUUUAGUUGCCAGCAGUUCGGCUGGGCACUCUAAAGGGACUGCCGGUGUUAAACCGGAGGAAGGUGGGGAUGACGUCAAGUCCUCAUGGCCUUUAUGACCAGGGCUACACACGUACUACAAUGGCCGAUACAAAGGGCAGCGACAUCGCGAGGUGAAGCCAAUCCCAUAAAAUCGGUCUCAGUCCGGAUUGGAGUCUGCAACUCGACUCCAUGAAGUUGGAAUCGCUAGUAAUCGUGGAUCAGCAUGCCACGGUGAAUACGUUCCC